UGUAUUUACACUCCAGUCACAGCCACCAUCUUAAAACACGUCUGUCAGAAGUAUCUGUGUCCUCAGUUUGAAGAAGAAAAGCCUACAUUAUCUGGGUUGAGAAGGUCCUAUGAGACUGUGUCCCCAUGUGUCCAACCCCAGCUUCCUGUGGUUGCAGAACAAGUCCCAGCCACAGGGAUAGGCUCCUAUCUCUGGGUUAUAACACCUUGGAACCUCUGCACUGUCUGUCAGGAUGCCCUCCCAGCACCAGUUCUGCAUGGUCACUGUCUUAGUUACUAUUCUAUUGCUGGGAAGACACUAUGACCAAGGCAUGUUGUGGUUUUUGGGUCUCUACCCUGGCUGUUUUAGAGUUCUCUAUGUAGACCAGGCUGGCCUUGAACUCUUAGAGAUGAACUUGCUUCUGCCAACUUAGCACUGGGUCUAAAGGUAUGCAUCACUAUGCCUGGUUUAAACUGAGAACUUAUAUCUUACAUCUUGUUCUGUGCAAUGGGAGACUGAGACUGGAUCUGGGUGGAUCCAUUCCUUGUCCCCAAUGCUUGCAGCCAUAUCAUAAUGCAAAACGCAUUCAGUCUAACUUUAACAGUCUCCAUAGUCUAUCAAACCUCAAAACCCACACCUGGUGACAAUGUGGGGAUGUGGCAGCCAGCCCUAACCUGAUGGCACUGUGUUAUUGCUUACCUAAAAAUAAAGUGCUCUGUCCCAGACAUUA
RNAcentral lists this long non-coding RNA (709 nucleotides) under Rattus norvegicus (Norway rat). Its description in RNAcentral is "long non-coding RNA NONRATT019665". Lineage: Eukaryota; Metazoa; Chordata; Mammalia; Rodentia; Muridae. The record is from RNAcentral.